RNAcentral lists this ribosomal RNA (253 nucleotides) under uncultured bacterium. Its description in RNAcentral is "partial 16S ribosomal RNA". It matches the Rfam family "Bacterial small subunit ribosomal RNA", at positions 524 to 776 of the family's 1533-position model. The record is from RNAcentral.
UACGUAGGGGGCAAGCGUUGUCCGGAUUUAUUGGGCGUAAAGAGCGUGUAGGCGGCUUGGCAAGUCCGCUGUGAAAACUCGAGGCUCAACCUCGAGACGUCGGUGGAAACUGCCUCGCUAGAGUCCGGAAGAGGAGAGUGGAAUUCCUGGUGUAGCGGUGAAAUGCGCAGAUAUCAGGAGGAACACCAAUUGCGAAGGCAGCUCGCUGGGACGUUACUGACGCUGAGACGCGAAAGCGUGGGGAGCAAACAGG